UACAGAGGUCUCAAGCGUUGUUCGGAUUCAUUGGGCGUAAAGGGUGCGUAGGCGGCGCGGUAAGUCGGGUGUGAAAUCUCGGAGCUUAACUCCGAAACUGCAUUCGAUACUGCCGUGCUUGAGGACUGGAGAGGAGACUGGAAUUCCUGGUGUAGCGGUGAAAUGCGCAGAUAUCAGGAAGAACACCUAUGGCGAAGGCAGCACUCUGGGACGGUACUGACGCUGAGACGCGAAAGCGUGGGGAGCGAACAGG
RNAcentral lists this ribosomal RNA (253 nucleotides) under uncultured bacterium. RNAcentral's name for it is "partial 16S ribosomal RNA". It matches the Rfam family "Bacterial small subunit ribosomal RNA", at positions 524 to 776 of the family's 1533-position model. The record is from RNAcentral.